RNAcentral lists this ribosomal RNA (496 nucleotides) under uncultured bacterium. Its description in RNAcentral is "bacterial SSU rRNA". It matches the Rfam family "Bacterial small subunit ribosomal RNA", at positions 30 to 524 of the family's 1533-position model. The record is from RNAcentral.
AUUGAACGCUGGCGGUAUGCUUAACACAUGCAAGUCGAACGGUAACAGGCCUUCGGGCGCUGACGAGUGGCGGACGGUGAGUAACGCGUAGGAAUCUGCCCUCAUAGUGGGGACAACGUGGGGAAACUCACGCUAAUACCGCAUACGCCCUACGGGGAAAGCGGGGAUCUUCGGACCUCGCGCUAUGAGAUGAGCCUGCGUUAGAUUAGCUAGUUGGUAGGGUAAAGGCCUACCAAGGCGACGAUCUAUAGCUGGUCUGAGAGGACGAUCAGCCACACUGGGACUGAGACACGGCCCAGACUCCUACGGGAGGCAGCAGUGGGGAAUAUUGGACAAUGGGCGCAAGCCUGAUCCAGCAAUACCGCGUGUGUGAAGAAGGCCUUAGGGUUGUAAAGCACUUUCAAUUGGGAGGAAAACCCUGCCGGUCAAUACCCGGUAGCUUGACAUUACCUUUAGAAGAAGCACCGGCUAACUCCGUGCCAGCAGCCGCGGUAAU